This 73-nucleotide transfer RNA is filed under the name Camelus bactrianus (Bactrian camel). It matches the Rfam family "tRNA". Rfam says of the family: Transfer RNA (tRNA) molecules are approximately 80 nucleotides in length. Their secondary structure includes four short double-helical elements and three loops (D, anti-codon, and T loops). RNAcentral also lists the same sequence under 2 other names. Lineage: Eukaryota; Metazoa; Chordata; Mammalia; Artiodactyla; Camelidae. The record is from Rfam by way of RNAcentral.
GAGGGUAUAGCUCAAGUGGUAGAGCCCAUGCUUAGCAUACACAAGGUCCUGGGUUCAAUCCCCAGUAUCUCCU